CUUGGUCAUUUAGAGGAAGUAAAAGUCGUAACAAGGUUUCCGUAGGUGAACCUGCGGAAGGAUCAUUAAAGAGUAAGGGUGCUCAGCGCCCGACCUCCAACCCUUUGUUGUUAAAACUACCUUGUUGCUUUGGCGGGACCGCUCGGUUCCGAGCCGCUGGGGAUUCGUCCCAGGCGAGUGCCCGCCAGAGUUAAACCAAACUCUUGUUAUUAAACCGGUCGUCUGAGUUAAAAUUUUGAAUAAAUCAAAACUUUCAACAACGGAUCUCUUGGUUCUCGCAUCGAUGAAGAACGCAGCGAAAUGCGAUAAGUAAUGUGAAUUGCAGAAUUCAGUGAAUCAUCGAAUCUUUGAACGCACAUUGCGCCCCUUGGUAUUCCGAGGGGCAUGCCUGUUCGAGCGUCAUUACACCACUCAAGCUAUGCUUGGUAUUGGGUGCCGUCCUUAGUUGGGCGCGCCUUAAAGACCUCGGCGAGGCCACUCCGGCUUUAGGCGUAGUAGAAUUUAUUCGAACGUCUGUCAAAGGAGAGGAACUCUGCCGAUUGAAACCUUUAUUUUUCUAGGUUGACCUCGGAUCAGGUAGGGAUACCCGCUGAACUUAAGCAUAUCAAUAAGCGGAGGA
This 619-nucleotide ribosomal RNA is filed under the name Aureobasidium pullulans. RNAcentral describes it as "eukaryotic LSU rRNA". The stretch from base 249 to 402 matches the Rfam family "5.8S ribosomal RNA". Lineage: Eukaryota; Fungi; Ascomycota; Dothideomycetes; Dothideales; Saccotheciaceae. The record is from RNAcentral.